This 476-nucleotide ribosomal RNA is filed under the name uncultured fungus. RNAcentral's name for it is "eukaryotic LSU rRNA". The stretch from base 35 to 188 matches the Rfam family "5.8S ribosomal RNA". The record is from RNAcentral. Lineage: Eukaryota; Fungi.
GUGUAACAAAUGUAGUCUUAUUAUAACAUAAUAAAACUUUCAACAACGGAUCUCUUGGCUCUCGCAUCGAUGAAGAACGCAGCGAAAUGCGAUAAGUAAUGUGAAUUGCAGAAUUCAGUGAAUCAUCGAAUCUUUGAACGCACCUUGCGCUCCUUGGUAUUCCGAGGAGCAUGCCUGUUUGAGUGUCAUGAAACCCUCAAACCCAAGUUUUGGAUUUCGAUCCAUGCUUGAGUUUGGAUUUGGAUGUUUGCCGGUGAUGAACCGACUCAUCUUAAAAGUAUUAGCUUGGAUCUGUCUAUAUGACUGGUUUGACUUGGCAUAAUAAGUAUUUUGCUGAGGACAUCUUCGGAUGGCCAGGACCUAGACUACUGUCUGCUAACUAAACCAUCACUUUAAGUGCAUCUUUGGAUGUUACUCAUUGUGUAACUUUGACAUCUGGCCUCAAAUCAAGUAGGACUACCCGCUGAACUUAAGCA